Small nuclear RNA from Nomascus leucogenys (northern white-cheeked gibbon), 101 nucleotides. The record is from Ensembl. Lineage: Eukaryota; Metazoa; Chordata; Mammalia; Primates; Hylobatidae.
ACUUGCUUCCACAGUACAAACUAAAAUGGGAAGGAUAACACAAUGAUUAGCACGGCCCCUGUACUAGAAUGACAUGAAUUUGUGAGGCAUUUGCAUUUUUC